AGCCCCGCGGAUCUAUGCGGGGUGUCCUCUGCCCUGUGAUUACUUUAACGGCCGCAGUACUCUGACUGUGCUAAGGUAGCAUAAUAAUUUGGCUUUUAAUUGAAGUCUUGGAUGAAUGGGAGUUGGGGGGGGUCCUUUCUUAAUCUUUUUCUUGUGAACUUACUAAGGAAGUGAAAAUUCUUCUAAAUAGAAGAGGGACGAGAAGACCCUUAGAGCUUUAAGAGUUACUUUUUGUUGGGGCGACAGGGCCGGUUGAACCUGCUUUAUUUACAAGUCUUUUUUACACAGCGAGAAAAAGCUACCUUAGGGAUAACAGCAUAAUUUUUUAGAAAGAUUGUGACCUCGAUGUUGGACUAGGGACCUUAUAACUAGCAGUUAAACUGGAGUGUUCUGUUCGAACAUCUCUCCCU
This 410-nucleotide ribosomal RNA is filed under the name Dadagulella radius. RNAcentral describes it as "Gulella radius partial 16S ribosomal RNA". It matches the Rfam family "Archaeal large subunit ribosomal RNA", at positions 1909 to 2665 of the family's 2987-position model. The record is from RNAcentral. Lineage: Eukaryota; Metazoa; Mollusca; Gastropoda; Stylommatophora; Streptaxidae.